This is a long non-coding RNA of Sceloporus undulatus (fence lizard), 974 nucleotides long. RefSeq lists it as uncharacterized. The record is from RefSeq and is a predicted model, not a curated record. The transcript has 3 exons. Lineage: Eukaryota; Metazoa; Chordata; Lepidosauria; Squamata; Phrynosomatidae.
GCAGCAGGCAAUACACUACUGGAUUCAGUCAGUGUGUGGAAAGUGUGCAGUGGAUUAUUAUGGCUCAGCAUGCAGUCAUGUCUUGUGCCAAGAAGUCAAGGGAGAAACAGACAAGAGUGUCCAAUGUAGGGGUGCCCCAAACAGGCAUAUUUAUAGGGAGAAAAGUGACCUGAAGCAGUUUCUUAGGAGUUGAAAUUAUUUUUCUAGAAUGAAGAAUUGACAUAGGUUUGAGGAAAAUGUCAGGACAAUCAAUCUAGAAGUCUCACACAAAAGGGUGUCAUCUCCAGAGGGAAAUGCCCCUGGAUUCUCAACCUUUGGGAUGAUGAAUCCAGCAACAUUUGUUGUGGAGGGCAUGGUCUCCAGUCCCUGGAAAAUGAAGAACAUCUCCUUUCAGAAGAAAUCCUGGUAUAUCUGGUGGGAACAUAGGAAUGGACCUUCUCUGUGGCUGCCAUCAAGGUCUUGAACUCCCUUUCCAGAGAGGGUAGACUGUCACCCUCCCAACUUUCUUUUUAUAAACAGGCCCACAUAUAUCCGGAACCACCGCAUCUCAUCCAUGAACCUAUCACUUUUGAGAUAUUUGUGGACUAUAACUUCCAUCAGAUCUAGAUAACAUAGCCAAAUGUGAGGAAUCAUUAGAGCUUCAGUCCAAAACAGUGGGGCUGAAGGAAGGCAGGAAUUCCUCAUUCAUGCUAUACAUAGCUACCUAAGGUCUGAGCCUACAUUUCAAGUUGCAAUACAGAAAACGUUUGACUGUAACUGAUAUAUGAUUUCCAGAAUCUCCAACUUCCCACACAGUUCCCUAGGGAAAUAAUUCUUCACUACCUUCAUUCUUAAAGGAUGGAACAGGUAAUUUCUCUCCACACUACAAGAAAGUCUUCAAACACUGUACAGUUUUAUAAAAAAUUGCAAUUUUCUACUUGAUCUGUGCAAAAUAUUCAUGCGAUUUUGUUUUGCAGAGAAAACAGCAUUUUCUG